CCUGGGCCUUCGGCAAACACUGACCCCUGCCCAGCCGCUGCCCUGGCCCCUCGCCACGUCCCUCUGGAAAAGAUCCAGUAGCAGAGCCAGGUUCUCAAACUGGGUCCCAUGGUCAACCGAGCCCCAUCUUCUUCUUUGGACUGGAGUUGGUGCAAAGCCACCCGGGUGCAUCCUGAUUUUUCCCUCUUGCACUUAGGGCUUUUCUCAUGGAUAUGAAAAGGUUUUCUUUCUUUGCUCUCUUUGUACUGAGAGGUGAGUGAUGAUAGCAGUGCUAUUGUAGAGUAAAAGUUAGACAGUGAGAGUGGGUGACUGGGGUGCAUCUGAACAGAGGGCCCGUGGCAGCAGGUGUACCACCUGGGCUGGACCUGAACCUGCCACUGGAGUAACUGCAGUAUCCAGGGUGGCACUUCUCUUCCCUUCCUAACUGGGGUUGAUCCCGGUUUGCUUUAUAGAGGCCACGUUGUUACAGGUCCCUCCUGGACGCCGAGGCAAUGAAACGCCAAAAUCCAAUGGUGACUUGGCCAUUUGCUGCCCGAGGGACCCUCAGAGAAUCCAGGCCAAAUUAGAGGCCAAUGGCCCCUAGAUGCCCAUGAUGAUGGCUUUUGGGAUAGGAAGGAAACUGUAGGAGUGAGGAAGACCUUAUCCUUUGACUCCUGGCACUAAUCAACAACGAUUAAGUUCAAAUGAGUGGAUUAAGUAGCUGGGGAAUGUCAAGUGCAGUAGGCCCUCGACGAGCAAACACAGUGCAGAAGAGUCCUCCUGUCACAGCCUGAAGCUGGAGAUUAUUGGGCAAAAGAAAAAGAGAAAUGGUGGUGGUGGAGGGAAGGCUCAAAAGCAUCAUGAGUUGAACAGAGAAGUGAAGAAAAGUAAUUUGAGGUCAGCAUGGAGCCUUCCCAGGAUACAAAAGUGCUCUGGAAUGUUAGCAAGAGUGGAAGACACUCUUCCUGUCCCUGGAAAGCCGACCUCCCAGGGGGUGUUGGGAGAAGAGAGAAUAAUUAAAUAGUGUGAGCAGGGCUUCAGGAGACCACGGGGAUCGUGCAGGACCUCAGGCAUCCCUGGCUCCUACACUGUGACCUGGUCCUAGAUCCUUGGCUGAGGGCUGGACCGUUUGGUGGACAUGCUGUGGAAUAAAGUGGAGACAGUAGUGGGGAUUCCAGAUUCAUCAUGAGGAUCUCAUGAUAGUGACAGUAGCAGUCUUUGGAUACUGCAGAUUUUGGGAGCCAGUCAGAUCCACAUCAUCAUGCUGAUACAGGUGGAAGUGGACAGUGGCCACCAAGCCAAUGAAGCUGUGUUCUUUGUCUCCCUGGUGCUUGUCCAAAUACCAGGCAAAAAAGUCAUGAUGACUAAAGGUUUACUGAACAGAACCAAAUUCAUUGAGCAUUCCUAGUGUUCCUGCCACCACACCAGGGUUUUGAAUGGCUUUUGAUGCUGUGUAAGUGCUGCUGACUCUCAAAUGCGUGUCCUCUACCCAAAGCAGAGGUGGAAUUCAGAUGCUCAGAGCGGCUGUGACCCAACCUGCUCCUUGACUAAGCAUCUUCCAAUCCUGGGAAAUGACAUUGCUGACUGCCUGGCUGUUCGAGCCAGAAAUCUGGAGUAUUUUUUUUUCUCCCUUCCCUCCAGUUUACCCCAAGCCGGGUUGACUCCCCCACUUCUAGCUCCCAGGAAUUUCAUUGUCAUGUCACUAUCUCUGCUGUUUCCACACUGGUUGGAAACACCACUGGGCUCUCCCCUGAGUAGCAGACUCCUAACUGAGUGUGACCCAACUCAUUUUUCUCCCAGCCACUGAUGUCAAAAACAGAAAUCAGUUUAGAUCGCUCAUUUAAAAUCCUUCACUAGGGGCAGCCCCUGUGGCGCAGCGGUUUAGAGCCGCCUACAGCCUGGGGUGUGAUCCUGGAGGCCCGGGA
Long non-coding RNA from Canis lupus familiaris (dog), 1904 nucleotides. RefSeq lists it as uncharacterized. The record is from RefSeq and is a predicted model, not a curated record. The transcript is spliced from 6 exons. NCBI's taxonomy places the organism in Eukaryota, Metazoa, Chordata, Mammalia, Carnivora, Canidae.